This 429-nucleotide ribosomal RNA is filed under the name Bacteroidota bacterium. RNAcentral describes it as "Bacteroidetes bacterium partial 16S ribosomal RNA". It matches the Rfam family "Bacterial small subunit ribosomal RNA", at positions 355 to 776 of the family's 1533-position model. Lineage: Bacteria; Pseudomonadati; Bacteroidota. The record is from RNAcentral.
UUGGGAAUCUUCGGCAAUGGGGGGAACCCUGACCGAGCAACGCCGCGUGAGUGAAGAAGGUCUUCGGAUCGUAAAGCUCUGUUGUUAAGGAAGAACGAGUGUGAGAAUGGAAAGUUCAUGCUGUGACGGUACUUAACCAGAAAGGGACGGCUAACUACGUGCCAGCAGCCGCGGUAAUACGUAGGUCCCGAGCGUUGUCCGGAUUUAUUGGGCGUAAAGCGAGCGCAGGCGGUUAGAAAAGUCUGAAGUGAAAGGCAGUGGCUCAACCAUUGUAGGCUUUGAAAACUGUGUAACUUGAGUGCAGAAGGGGAGAGUGGAAUUCCAUGUGUAGCGGUGAAAUGCGUAGUUAUAUGGAGGAACACCGGUGGCGAAAGCGGCUCUCUGGUCUGUAACUGACGCUGAGGCUCGAAGGCGUGGGGAGCGAACAGA